UACGGAGGGUGCAAGCGUUGUCCGGAUUUAUUGGGUUUAAAGGGUGCGUAGGCGGCCCGGUAAGUCAGUGGUGAAAGCCUCCAGCUCAACUGGAGAACUGCCAUUGAUACUGUCGGGCUUGAGUACAGACGAGGUUGGCGGAAUUGAUUGUGUAGCGGUGAAAUGCAUAGAUAUUGGGAGGAACACCAGUGGCGAAGGCGGCUCACUGGACCGGUUCUGACGCUGAGGCGCGAAAGCGUGGGGAGCAAACGGG
RNAcentral lists this ribosomal RNA (253 nucleotides) under uncultured bacterium. RNAcentral's name for it is "partial 16S ribosomal RNA". It matches the Rfam family "Bacterial small subunit ribosomal RNA", at positions 524 to 776 of the family's 1533-position model. The record is from RNAcentral.